This 571-nucleotide ribosomal RNA is filed under the name uncultured bacterium. RNAcentral's name for it is "partial 16S ribosomal RNA". It matches the Rfam family "Bacterial small subunit ribosomal RNA", at positions 355 to 919 of the family's 1533-position model. The record is from RNAcentral.
UGGGGAAUUUUGGACAAUGGGCGAAAGCCUGAUCCAGCAAUGCCGCGUGUGUGAAGAAGGCCUUCGGGUUGUAAAGCACUUUUGUCCGGAAAGAAAUCCUCUGGGUUAAUACCUCGGGGGGAUGACGGUACCGGAAGAAUAAGCACCGGCUAACUACGUGCCAGCAGCCGCGGUAAUACGUAGGGUGCAAGCGUUAAUCGGAAUUACUGGGCGUAAAGCGUGCGCAGGCGGUUUGCUAAGACCGAUGUGAAAUCCCCGGGCUCAACCUGGGAACUGCAUUGGUGACUGGCAGGCUAGAGUAUGGCAGAGGGGGGUAGAAUUCCACGUGUAGCAGUGAAAUGCGUAGAGAUGUGGAGGAAUACCGAUGGCGAAGGCAGCCCCCUGGGCCAAUACUGACGCUCAUGCACGAAAGCGUGGGGAGCAAACAGGAUUAGAUACCCUGGUAGUCCACGCCCUAAACGAUGUCAACUAGUUGUUGGGGAUUCAUUUCCUUAGUAACGUAGCUAACGCGUGAAGUUGACCGCCUGGGGAGUACGGUCGCAAGAUUAAAACUCAAAGGAAUUGACGGGGU